RNAcentral lists this ribosomal RNA (1314 nucleotides) under alkali sediment metagenome. RNAcentral's name for it is "bacterial LSU rRNA". It matches the Rfam family "Bacterial large subunit ribosomal RNA", at positions 1564 to 2925 of the family's 2925-position model. The record is from RNAcentral.
CGAAUGAGAGCGGCAUCUGCUGCAAUUCGAGUGAGCCAAGCUGGCGAGAAAAGUGUCUAGCGAGAUCAACGGUGACCGUACCGCAAUCCGACACAGGUAGGCGGGUAGAGAAUACCAAGGUGAUCGGGAGAACCCUCGUUAAGGAACUCGGCAACAUGGCCCCGUAACUUCGGGAGAAGGGGCGCUUCGCGGCUGCUUGCUUGUCAAGUGGUCGAUCGAAGCCGCAGUGAAAUGGCCCAGGCGACUGUUUAGCAAAAACACAGGUCUCUGCGAAAGCGAAAGCUGACAUAUACGGGCUGACGCCUGCCCAGUGCUGGAAGGUUAAGAGGAGGGGUGCAAGCUCUGAAUCGAAGCCCCAGUAAACGGCGGCUGUAACUAUAACAGUCCUAAGGUAGCGAAAUUCCUUGUCGGGUAAGUUCCGACCCGCACGAAUGGCGUAACGAUCUGGGCGCUGUCUCAACGAGGGAUCCGGCGAAAUUGAAGUACCUGUGAAGAUGCAGGUUACCCGCGGCAGGGCAAAAAGACCCCGUGGAGCUUUACUGGCUGAGAAACUGGGGCGCUAGCCUCGGUGGAGCCAACGUUGAAAUACCACCCUUGCUGAAUUCCGUUUCUAACCGCGACCCGUAAUCCGGGCGCGGAACAGUGUCAGGCGGGCAGUUUGACUGGGGCGGUCGCCUCCUAAAGUGUAACGGAGGCGCCCAAAGGUUCCCUCAGGCUGAAUGGAAACCAGCCGAAGAGUGCAAAGGCAUAAGGGAGCUUGACUGCGAGACCUACAAGUCGAGCAGAGACGAAAGUCGGGCUUAGUGAUCUGGUACCUCCGAGUGGAAGGGGUAUCACUCAACGGAUAAAAGCUACCCCGGGGAUAACAGGCUGAUGGUGCCCAAGAGUUCACAUCGACGGCACCGUUUGGCACCUCGAUGUCGGCUCGUCGCAUCCUGGGGCGGAAGUACGUCCCAAGGGUUUGGCUGUUCGCCAAUUAAAGCGGCACGCGAGCUGGGUUCAGAACGUCGUGAGACAGUUCGGUCUCUAUCCGCCGUGGGCGUAGGGAACUUGAGAGGAGUUGCUCCUAGUACGAGAGGACCGGAGUGAACGAACCGCUGGUGUGCCAGUUGUCCCGCCAGGGGCACCGCUGGGUAGCUAUGUUCGGUCGGGAUAAGCGCUGAAAGCAUCUAAGUGCGAAGCUCGCCUCGAGAUGAGGUUCCCCACCGGGUCAACCGGGUAAGACCGCAGGGAGACCACCUGUUUGAUAGGCCGCAUGUGGAAGUCCGGUGACGGAUGAAGCUGAGCGGUACUAACGGUCGAGGGCUUGACCUC